This 580-nucleotide ribosomal RNA is filed under the name Acaphylla theae. RNAcentral's name for it is "partial 28S ribosomal RNA". Lineage: Eukaryota; Metazoa; Arthropoda; Arachnida; Trombidiformes; Eriophyidae. The record is from RNAcentral.
AAAUAGAACUUUGCAGAGAGAGUUAACAGGGCGUGAAACCGUUAAUUGGCAAACGAAUCGGAGCCACGAAGUCGUUUCGCUGAUUAGUUGGGCCAAGUUCAGUCCAAGAUCGCAAGAUUUUGGGUGUAUUCUUGUAGUCCAACCUAACAUUGUAAACGUACACUGCAACCAGUUAGACGAUUGGCGAUGGGCCCAGCUGGUUGGGGAGCAAUCCCCGGCUAGCGCAGCUAUUGUCCGCUUGGGCCAGCAGCAGCUUGGUGCGCCUCGGCGUAUUCGAGUUGUUGGGCGCAGGCGGGAGAACUAUCGCCAAACACUGACUGGCAAAAUAAAAAUCACUCGCAGAGUGUUUGAAUAGAACGCGGCCGUCCAUAUGGGUGUCCACAUGCUUGACCGUUUGGCUUAAGCUCAGCAUUUUUAAAUUCAAACUUGCUUGCUACCAGUGGGGCAACUCCUGGUGCUUGUAUUGCUUUGUCUAAUUGGGUGUUGACUUGGUUAGGCGUCGUUCGAGCAUGCAACGAUCGGGCGCUCAUGUGAGGUGGUUCGCAAUCAUUGGCAGUGAGUAGGUCGGCUUUCCGAACGA